UAGGGAAUCUUCGGCAAUGGACGGAAGUCUGACCGAGCAACGCCGCGUGAGUGAAGAAGGUGUUCGGAUCGUAAAGCUCUGUUGUUAGAGAAGAACGUUGGUAGGAGUGGAAAAUCUACCAAGUGACGGUAACUAACCAGAAAGGGACGGCUAACUACGUGCCAGCAGCCGCGGUAAUACGUAGGUCCCGAGCGUUUUCCGGAUUUAUUGGGCGUAAAGCGAGCGCAGGCGGUUUUUUAAGUCUGAAGUUAAAGGCAGUGGCUUAACCAUUGUACGCUUUGGAGACUAGAGGAGUUGAGUGCAGAAGGGGAGAGUGGAAUUCGAUGUGUAGCGGUGAAAUGCGUAGAUAUAAGGAGGACCACCGGUGGCGAAAGCGGGUCUCUGGUAGGUAACUGACGCUGAGGGUAGAAAGCGUGGGGGGCAAGCAGG
RNAcentral lists this ribosomal RNA (429 nucleotides) under Bacillota bacterium. Its description in RNAcentral is "Firmicutes bacterium partial 16S ribosomal RNA". It matches the Rfam family "Bacterial small subunit ribosomal RNA", at positions 355 to 776 of the family's 1533-position model. Lineage: Bacteria; Bacillati; Bacillota. The record is from RNAcentral.